AGUUUUUCAUCAAACAAUACAUCCAUUAUUUCACUUUGGUGAUUUUGGUGGCAAGGGUCGCAAAUUAUAGUUGGAAUUGCUGGAUCUACUUCCAUAUCCUGGAUGAGAAAAAUGACGAGAUAGCCAGCAGCCAGCAGCCAGGAGGAACCUCAACCUCGCUCAAUCAUGUGAUCACAAGUUCUAAUAUAAUAUGGUUUUAAGCACCUUUUUAAUGCUUCGCCACAGCCUACAGUUAUUUGUCGAUAAUAAUCGUUAGAAACUUAGAAUCCAGGGUUUUUAACUUCGUCCGUUUUUUUAAAGUUGUUUAUAAGUACAAGGGAGUGCCCCUAAAAUAGAAAGCACAAAUUAAUCUGAACAUUUUCUUAUUUUACUUUCUUCUGUUUUCAGAAUAAUCUAAACAUUUUUUUUAUUUUAUUUAUCUCAAAUUAGUAGGCACUUUCAUUUUUUUACCAUGGUUCCACAAUUAUAUAUUAGUUCCAUUAAACGAUUACACCUAUUUAGCGCAUAUUUUAUCUCUAUCAAUAAAAUUACCUAACUUUUUCCGCCUUUUGAUAAAAAAAAAACCCUCCAACUCAUAUCAUAACUAUUUUUUAAUAAAAUAACAUUUGAUAAGUGUAUUAUAACUUAUAAUCUUCUUAAACUACGUGUCUUAAUAAGAGUUCAUAUUUUUCUUAGACAAAGAGAGUCAGCAUAAAAUAUUGAUUGAUAAGAGAAAAAGUUAGUAUUAGGUCCCACAUUAUGUAAGUAUAAAGAGAUUCAUGUUUUAAAAUUGAGAUUGUUAGGCCAUGUUAUUUUGAUUUGAGCUGAAUUGAGCUCAACUAGACUGAAAUUAAAUGUAUUUCAUUGAAUUGAAUUAAAUUGAAUUGAACUUAAUGAAUUGAUCUGAAUAUUAAAUAAUAAGGAUUUUUUGUGGGAAAUGACCAAUUAAAAUAGGAUUUUUGUGGGGAAAAUCCACUUAAAUUUUUUUUUGGAGGGAAGGACCAAUUAAAAUACAUUCGUUGGCAACUAAACACCACAUUACAAUUUUCAAACCAAAUUGUCAACUUUCCGGCAUUAACAACUGGUUUCCCACCCAAAACCUCAGUUUUUUUGUUUGUCAACUUACAUCCUUUGCUUUCCGACAUUAACAAUUGAAUUACCCCCAAAAUCUUUUUUCUUUCUCUCUCUAAAAUUUUCAUGUCUUUUUCUUCUUCUCCUUCUUACC
Beta vulgaris subsp. vulgaris (sugar beet) is the source of this 1204-nucleotide long non-coding RNA. RefSeq lists it as uncharacterized. Lineage: Eukaryota; Viridiplantae; Streptophyta; Magnoliopsida; Caryophyllales; Amaranthaceae. The transcript is spliced from 2 exons. The record is from RefSeq and is a predicted model, not a curated record.